This 87-nucleotide unclassified non-coding RNA is filed under the name Pseudomonas libanensis. Lineage: Bacteria; Pseudomonadati; Pseudomonadota; Gammaproteobacteria; Pseudomonadales; Pseudomonadaceae. The record is from RNAcentral.
GUGGGAGGGGGCUUGCCCCCGAUUACGGUGGGUCAGCCAGUAAAUUUGGUGCUGAUACGCCGCUAUCGGGGGCAAGCCCCCUCCCAC